AUAAGAUGGAGAAUCCAUGCAGUGGAGGCUUAUCUGAACUUAGCACACACUCUCAGGAGUAUGGGAUUUCACUACAAAUUCCUUCACCGCACUUCAGGUGAUAUCUACCUUCAUUCUUCCAGAACAAUUUUUAUUCAGCUGCAUCUUUUACAGCUACAUAUCCUACGCUUCCUGGAGGGAAUUCAGUUUUCUGGGAUGAUGACAUUGCCUAUAAUAAGGUUCAGCGCACACUAUUUCUCCUAUCAAGCCAAUCCUCUGGUGCAGCUUCAGCUAAGAUGGGUCUCUCACCCAGCGGGUCCACAGAGAUGGGCAUGGCAUGGGCCGGGCAUUCAUUCACCCCUAAAUGGGUGAUGAUGCACAGCCAACGGGUUCCAGCACACCGCCCUGGAGUGUCAAGCGGAACAUCACCCACUGACGUCCCUGUCAAGGUCAUCGAAAAGCGCUCUGGUCUAGACAUGUGCCAUCAGAGUGAGAAAACCGCCACAAGCAUGCAUGAGCAACAGACCGAGGCAGUCUCCAUAAUGGCAAAGAUGCUGGAGGUCAGCUUUAGGUUGUACUUUCUCCAUGCAGCACUUCACUUAUAAUACAUGGUACAGUACAGUAAAAUAUGUGAGAAUAAAUCUGAGUACAUGAGAUUGAGGACUGUAAAGGUACUGCAAAGUCCUAAUGUCAUUCAUUGCUUCUGCUAUUCACAACAUGAGGAACACUAUGUAAAACCACUCUAGAUAAAUAGUUUAUGAUUCUACAUUAGGCUGUAGCCCAUUAACAUUAAAUCAAACAUAGACUUUCCAUCAUAAGAAAAAGAAAAAUGUCCCUUUUCUUAAAAGCCACUCUAACAUAUUUGAGCACCACAUACAACUGCCUUUCUGAACGGAAUAAUGUGUAGUUUAUUUUCAAAAAGGCUCAUUUCUUAAAAUAGUCUAUAUUUGUUGACCUACUUCCAGAGAUUGUUAUCUACAUUGUUGCACCACCAGUCCAGCUUUGUUUUCAAGCUGAACAUAUAGAUAAUCUUUAAAAGCAUGUGCACAAAGUAGCUUGUAUCAUUGUUUCAGUCUUCCAAAUUCUGUUUUAUGUUCCCUGAGUCCCAUAGAUGUCUUGGGUUCUCUUUAUCUACUGUUGUUUCACUCAUUUUCUUCCCCUUUUAGUACUAUCUCAUCUUAAUCCUGCACUGGCUUCCCUCAAUCAUCUUAUAUUACCAACUAUACUGCUUUCUUCACUUUGUCAUUAACCCGUUGUGCUUCUCCCUUCACUCUCUCAAAUCUUUGUUUGUGUUAUCUUCAAAUCAUUUUCUCAUUCUCCUUGGCUUUUUCCUAUUCUCACCCCAUCUUUUUUCAUUUUGCCCCACUGUUCCUGCUCCCUCCACCUUUCAUGUCCUUUCACAUCUCUUUCUCUUUAUCUGGCAGGCUCCCAUACUCCCUCGGUCUUCUUCUCUCUGUUUUACAUACUCCUGAUGUGCUCCUGCUGACCCCGUCUGUCCGAAGGGAUUAAUUGAUAGUGAGAGAUAAUAAAUCUUCCCAUUAGGCGCAAAGCCCCCUGUCCAUUGCUCAUUAUGCGCCCGCUGCUCCUCAACACCAUGGCCUGGGGUUUCCCCUGCUUUUUUAACACGCACGUCUGCCAUGCCAACCCCAGCAAGGUCAAUCUCUGCCUAUGACAGUCGAUUGGCUACCUCACAUCACGACACAUUCAUUCAUGCAUGGACACCUUUUGAAGUGUUUAUUCUUUUCUCUGUCUCUAGUUUUGCAAUAGUCUGUGUUUUACAUGAUAGACCUGAGCAGCCUUACCAUGCAGCAGCUGUUGCAUGCAAGCUUUACACAUACUGUUUUGAAUUUGUGGUUUCCAACGAAAAGAACAAUAUAAAACUCCUGGCCUAACAAAGUGUACUUUUGCUUUUUUCUUAUCAGGUAUGAGACAAUAGAUAAGAAAAAAUGAGCCGAUUCCUUGGGAAAGAUUUAAUGGUACUGAAUAAUUCCUACUACCUUGAGACAAUUUUGAAAGAUUUUCAGAUGUUCAGUCUUCAAAGGUUCCUCCAUUUCCUGUUUUUGGCACACAGAGCUGCCACAUGCUUUAGCCAGUUAUUGACCUGUAUCUUGCUAACUAUCUAGGCAGCUGUUUUCGCAUCUAUCUUCUCAUAUCUGUGAGCACUAUAGCAUUAUCUGUUUUGCUAUGUUUGACCUGAAUAACUGUUGCAAAAUACACUGUGGAUAUUAAUCAUGCUUCUUAUAAAAGCCAUUUGGUUAAGGCCAUUGCUUUAUGUUAUGUUAAUAUGUUUAUGUGUCCCUUUAAGUUUGACUUUCAGUCACAUAAUGCUGCCUGGAAGUACCUAAUCCCAAAAGUGAAAAUCCUUAAAUGGUGGACUUUCAAUACUUGGAUCAGCAGGCUAUUUGGCCCAGAAUGAUCAGUCUUCACUAAACGUCAGCCAAAUCAGUAAAUUGUGAGAUUUCUUAAAAGACAGGGCAAAACUCCCUGCAUCCUUUUUCGGGGAAAUAAUGUCAGGUCGCAAUUUCAAAAAACUUCUUCCACACCAUAAAGUCUUAGUGACAGGUGCAGAGGAUCAAAAACACUUUCCAUCACUCACUUUAUCUAAAACAAAGUAAAUAAAGUGAGUACAAGUGAUGGACAGUGUGCGAGAUUCUUUGUUUUCUUCCCAGGAAAUAAAAUUUCAAAAUGGUUAAUGCAAAUUAAUAAAUUUCAUUGAGUGAUAUAUACAUAUUUGCACUCAAACAUCUGUACAAUGCAUUAGUUCUCCCAUCUGACAUCUGGUAAAUUAGCCAGCAAAGUACACUUGGAAAAUCUGUUAAUGAUUAUGGCGUAUCCUUGUUUCUAUUUGUUUAAAUUAUUUUUCAAAACAUUUGCCUGCUUUGAUUAUUCUCUGUACUUUUGAUGUUCGUUACUCAAAUUUUUUGUCAUACAUAGUGCUGUGAUCGCCACUGGAGUCAUUAAAAAUCGAAUCUAAUUCAAUAUAAUCAAUCUAAUCUAAUCUAAAAUAAUCUAAUCUAAUCACGUUGCUGGUAAUUUGGAAAAAUCUGGAUAAAAAAUACUAGGUUAAUACUGGGUUUUAAAAUUGAGUCAGUGUCAAUAUUUUACUUAGUGUAAACUUUCUAAAUGGUAAUACUAAACUUCAACUUACUAUUACAAGCAGGUGUUAGCAGCAGCUUAGUACCAAGUAACCAUAACCAUUGCUAAUACUCUCUUAAUUGUAAGACUAAAAGGAGAACCCAAAAAUAGUUAAGUUAAAUUUAACUGUAACAUUGGAUAAGUUGAUACUAAAUUGACACUGUCCCCAUAAAAGGGACACAUAUUUCACUUUACUAUGCUAAAUCCAUGUUUUGCAACAUGUUUUUACCAUUGUAAUGGACCAAUCAAUCAGUAGCUCAACAGGAGAUAUAAAUAGUUUGUAUUUUUUAUUUAAAACUUCAUAUAACCCAUACAGCAAACUGUACAAUUGAAUUAUUCACAAUGUGUUAAAAAGAAAAUAAUUCAAUAGCUUUUCUAUAAUAUUUUGUUGAAUUUCCCCAUGUUUUACUCAGAUGUCGGUUAUUUUAAUGUUCUCUUAACACAUAGUUACUAGGAAAACAAAAUCUCUUUUUUUCCUUUUUUUUUUACAAAAUCUUACAAAAACUAUAUUCAUAGAAAUUCUGCAUGUCCACAAAGAAAACCCUGGUUGGCACCAACAUAUUUUUCGUAUUGUUGAGAGGUUUUCUGCCAAGUGAUAGAAGCUAUGCAACUCAAAAUAAAGGUAUACAUAAAAAGGCA
Molecule: long non-coding RNA, 3753 nt
Organism: Siniperca chuatsi (mandarin fish)
Lineage: Eukaryota; Metazoa; Chordata; Actinopteri; Centrarchiformes; Sinipercidae
Exons: 2
Source: RefSeq, a predicted model, not a curated record